This is a transfer RNA of Scytonema hofmannii PCC 7110, 72 nucleotides long. It matches the Rfam family "tRNA". From Rfam's summary of the family: Transfer RNA (tRNA) molecules are approximately 80 nucleotides in length. Their secondary structure includes four short double-helical elements and three loops (D, anti-codon, and T loops). Further hydrogen bonds mediate the characteristic L-shaped molecular structure. tRNAs have two regions of fundamental functional importance: the anti-codon, which is responsible for specific mRNA codon recognition, and the 3' end, to which the tRNAs corresponding amino acid is attached (by aminoacyl-tRNA synthetases). tRNAs cope with the degeneracy of the genetic code in two manners: having more than one tRNA (with a specific anti-codon) for a particular amino acid; and 'wobble' base-pairing, i.e. permitting non-standard base-pairing at the 3rd anti-codon position. The record is from Rfam. NCBI's taxonomy places the organism in Bacteria, Bacillati, Cyanobacteriota, Cyanophyceae, Nostocales, Scytonemataceae.
GCCGAUGUGGCUCAGCGGUAGAGCAGCUGAUUCGUAAUCAGCAGGUCACGGGUUCAAAUCCCGUCAUCGGCU